GGGUUGUGAGGUUAAGCGACUAAGCGUACACGGUGGAUGCCCUGGCAGUCAGAGGCGAUGAAGGGCGUGCUAAUCUGCGAUAAGCGCCGGUAAGGUGAUAUGAACCGUUAUAACCGGCGAUACCCGAAUGGGGAAACCCAGUGUGAUUCGUCACACUAUCAUUAACUGAAUCCAUAGGUUAAUGAGGCGAACCGGGGGAACUGAAACAUCUAAGUACCCCGAGGAAAAGAAAUCAACCGAGAUUCCCCCAGUAGCGGCGAGCGAACGGGGAGGAGCCCAGAGCCUGAAUCAGCAUGUGUGUUAGUGGAAGCGUCUGGAAAGGCGCGCGAUACAGGGUGACAGCCCCGUACACAAAAGCGCAUGUGCUGUGAGCUCGAUGAGUAGGGCGGGACACGUGGUAUCCUGUCUGAAUAUGGGGGGACCAUCCUCCAAGGCUAAAUACUCCUGACUGACCGAUAGUGAACCAGUACCGUGAGGGAAAGGCGAAAAGAACCCCGGCGAGGGGAGUGAAAAAGAACCUGAAACCGUGUACGUACAAGCAGUGGGAGCACCCUUCGGGGUGUGACUGCGUACCUUUUGUAUAAUGGGUCAGCGACUUAUAUUCUGUAGCAAGGUUAACCGUAUAGGGGAGCCGGAGGGAAACCGAGUCUUAAUUGGGCGUUAAGUUGCAGGGUAUAGACCCGAAACCCGGUGAUCUAGCCAUGGGCAGGUUGAAGGUUGGGUAACACUAACUGGAGGACCGAACCGACUAAUGUUGAAAAAUUAGCGGAUGACCUGUGGCUGGGGGUGAAAGGCCAAUCAAACCGGGAGAUAGCUGGUUCUCCCCGAAAGCUAUUUAGGUAGCGCCUCGUGAAUUCAUCUCCGGGGGUAGAGCACUGUUUCGGCUAGGGGGCCAUCCCGGCUUACCAACCCGAUGCAAACUGCGAAUACCGGAGAAUGUUAUCACGGGAGACACACGGCGGGUGCUAACGUCCGUCGUGAAGAGGGAAACAACCCAGACCGCCAGCUAAGGUCCCAAAGUCAUGGUUAAGUGGGAAACGAUGUGGGAAGGCCCAGACAGCCAGGAUGUUGGCUUAGAAGCAGCCAUCAUUUAAAGAAAGCGUAAUAGCUCACUGGUCGAGUCGGCCUGCGCGGAAGAUGUAACGGGGCUAAACCAU
RNAcentral lists this ribosomal RNA (1157 nucleotides) under Salmonella enterica subsp. enterica serovar Typhimurium. Its description in RNAcentral is "partial 23S ribosomal RNA". It matches the Rfam family "Bacterial large subunit ribosomal RNA", at positions 1 to 1190 of the family's 2925-position model. The record is from RNAcentral. Lineage: Bacteria; Pseudomonadati; Pseudomonadota; Gammaproteobacteria; Enterobacterales; Enterobacteriaceae.